UUCCAUACUCCUCCUACAGCCUACUGCAUGC
This 31-nucleotide non-coding RNA is filed under the name Rattus norvegicus (Norway rat). Lineage: Eukaryota; Metazoa; Chordata; Mammalia; Rodentia; Muridae. The record is from RNAcentral.